Molecule: ribosomal RNA, 817 nt
Filed under: Lactarius cyathuliformis
Lineage: Eukaryota; Fungi; Basidiomycota; Agaricomycetes; Russulales; Russulaceae
Description: eukaryotic LSU rRNA
Rfam family: 5.8S ribosomal RNA (bases 201-354)
Source: RNAcentral
AGGGGCAUGUGAGGGCUGUCGCUGACUCAAAGUCGUGCACGCCCGAGUGUGUCCUCUCACAUAAUAAUCCAUCUCACCCUUUGUGCAUCGCCGCGUGAGCACCCUUUGGGAUCAUCUCGGAGGGGGCUCGCGUUUUCACACAAACCCCCCUUUUAAAAGUGUAGAAUGACCUCAUUUAUGCGCUAACACGCAAUCAAUACAACUUUCAACAACGGAUCUCUUGGCUCUCGCAUCGAUGAAGAACGCAGCGAAAUGCGAUACGUAAUGUGAAUUGCAGAAUUCAGUGAAUCAUCGAAUCUUUGAACGCACCUUGCGCCCCUUGGUAUUCCGAGGGGCACACCCGUUUGAGUGUCGUGAAAACCUCAACCUCCUUGGUUUCUUCUGGAGACCAAAGGCAGGCUUGGACUUUGGAGGCCCUUGCUGGAACCUCUCUCUUUUGAAGGCCAGCUCCUCUUAAACGAAUUAGCAGGGUCCUCUUUGCCGAUCCUCGACGUGUGAUAAGAUGUUUCCAUGUCUUGGUUUCUGGCUCUGUCACUUUUGGGACCCGCUUCUAACCGUCUUGACCUUGCAUCGAGACAAUGUUCGAGCAUGUCUCCCUUCUCGGGAAGCUCCCUCGACCCCACGAACCCUUGACCUCAAAUCGGGUGAGACUACCCGCUGAACUUAAGCAUAUCAAUAAGCGGAGGAAAAGAAACUAACAAGGAUUCCCCUAGUAACUGCGAGUGAAGCGGGAAAAGCUCAAAUUUAAAAUCUGGCGGUCUUUGGCCGUCCGAGUUGUAAUUUAGAGAAGCGUCUUCCGCGCUGGGACCGUGUACAA